This 473-nucleotide ribosomal RNA is filed under the name uncultured bacterium. Its description in RNAcentral is "bacterial SSU rRNA". It matches the Rfam family "Bacterial small subunit ribosomal RNA", at positions 328 to 793 of the family's 1533-position model. The record is from RNAcentral.
CUCUUUGACUCCUACGGGAGGCAGCAGUGGGGAAUAUUGCACAAUGGGCGCAAGCCUGAUGCAGCCAUGCCGCGUGUAUGAAGAAGGCCUUCGGGUUGUAAAGUACUUUCAGCAGUGAGGAAGGUGGAUAUGUUAAUAGCAUAUUCAUUUGACGUUAGCUGCAGAAGAAGCACCGGCUAACUCCGUGCCAGCAGCCGCGGUAAUACGGAGGGUGCGAGCGUUAAUCGGAAUUACUGGGCGUAAAGCGCAUGCAGGUGGUUUGUUAAGUCAGAUGUGAAAGCCCCGGGGCUCAACCUCGGAAUUGCAUUUGAAACUGGCAAACUAGAGUACUGUAGAGGGGGUAGAAUUUCAGGUGUAGCGGUGAAAUGCGUAGAGAUCUGAAGGAAUACCGGUGGCGAAGGCGGCCCCCUGGACAGAUACUGACACUCAGAUGCGAAAGCGUGGGGAGCAAACAGGAUUAGAUACCCUGGGAA